AGUGAACGCUGGCGGUAGGCCUAACACAUGCAAGUCGAACGGCAGCACAGUAAGAGCUUGCUCUUACGGGUGGCGAGUGGCGGACGGGUGAGGAUUACAUCGGAAUCUACUUUUUCGUGGGGGAUAACGUUGGGAAACUUACGCUAAUACCGCAUACGACCUACGGGUGAAAGCAGGGGAUCUUCGGACCUUGCGCGAUUGAAUGAGCCGAUGUCGGAUUAGCUAGUUGGCGGGGUAAAGGCCCACCAAGGCGACGAUCCGUAGCUGGUCUGAGAGGAUGAUCAGCCACACUGGAACUGAGACACGGUCCAGACUCCUACGGGAGGCAGCAGUGGGGAAUAUUGGACAAUGGGCGCAAGCCUGAUCCAGCCAUACCGCGUGGGUGAAGAAGGCCUUCGGGUUGUAAAGCCCUUUUGUUGGGAAAGAAAAGCAGCAGGUUAAUACCCCGCUGUUCUGACGGUACCCAAAGAAUAAGCACCGGCUAACUUCGUG
RNAcentral lists this ribosomal RNA (492 nucleotides) under uncultured bacterium. RNAcentral describes it as "partial 16S ribosomal RNA". It matches the Rfam family "Bacterial small subunit ribosomal RNA", at positions 29 to 507 of the family's 1533-position model. The record is from RNAcentral.